AGGACGAACGCUGGCGGCGUGCUUAACACAUGCAAGUCGAGCGAGGCCCGUCCUUCGGGACGGUGCCCUAGCGGCGAACGGGUGAGUAACACGUGGGCAACCUGCCCCUAGCACUGGGAUAACUCCGGGAAACCGGGGCUAAUACCGGAUAUGACCUUUGUGGGCAUCCUCGAAGGUGUAAAGGAUUCUGGCUAGGGAUGGGCCCGCGGCCUAUCAGCUUGUUGGUGGGGUAAUGGCCUACCAAGGCGACGACGGGUAGCCGGCCUGAGAGGGCGACCGGCCACACUGGGACUGAGACACGGCCCAGACUCCUACGGGAGGCAGCAGUGGGGAAUAUUGCACAAUGGGCGAAAGCCUGAUGCAGCGACGCCGCGUGAGGGAUGACGGCCUUCGGUUGUAACCUCUUUCAGCAGGGACGAAGCGCAAGUGACGGUACCUGCAGAAGAAGCACCGGCAACUACGUGCCAGCAGCCGC
This 475-nucleotide ribosomal RNA is filed under the name uncultured bacterium. Its description in RNAcentral is "SSU rRNA". It matches the Rfam family "Bacterial small subunit ribosomal RNA", at positions 26 to 518 of the family's 1533-position model. The record is from RNAcentral.